Molecule: ribosomal RNA, 219 nt
Filed under: uncultured bacterium
Lineage: Bacteria
Description: partial 16S ribosomal RNA
Rfam family: Bacterial small subunit ribosomal RNA
Source: RNAcentral
UACGGAGGGUCCAAGCGUUAUCCGGAAUCAUUGGGUUUAAAGGGUCCGUAGGCGGUUUUGUAAGUCAGUGGUGAAAGCCCAUCGCUCAACGGUGGAACGGCCAUUGAUACUGCAAGACUUGAAUUAUUGGGAAGCAACUAGAAUAUGUAGUGUAGCGGUGAAAAUGCUUAGAGAUUACAUGGAAUACCAAUUGCGAAGGCAGGUUGCUACCAAUACAUU